RNAcentral lists this long non-coding RNA (227 nucleotides) under Homo sapiens (human). Its description in RNAcentral is "HSALNT0302589". Lineage: Eukaryota; Metazoa; Chordata; Mammalia; Primates; Hominidae. The record is from RNAcentral.
AUCCUCCCGGCAUUCAUUUGUGGUCUCACACUCAUUUAUAUCUGUAGAGAUGUAGGGUCAAAGAGUUUACUAACUAAACUAAUGAACUGAUCUAAUUAAAUCAUAUAACUGGCAGAUUCUGUUUGCAAGGAAGGAGGUGUGAGAGCAUCUGGACUGUGUUCAACCUGCUUUUAGACACAAGACUGGGUGUUCAUUGUAUUGAAUUCAGGACAGACAGAGCUGAGACA